AGUGAACGCUGGCGGUAGGCCUAACACAUGCAAGUCGAACGGCAGCACAGUAAGAGCUUGCUCUUACGGGUGGCGAGUGGCGGACGGGUGAGGAAUACGUCGGAAUCUACUUUUUCGUGGGGGAUAACGUAGGGAAACUUACGCUAAUACCGCAUACGACCUACGGGUGAAAGCAGGGGAUCUUCGGACCUUGCGCGAUUGAAUGAGCCGAUGUCGGAUUAGCUAGUUGGCGGGGUAAAGGCCCACCAAGGCGACGAUCCGUAGCUGGUCUGAGAGGAUGAUCAGCCACACUGGAACUGAGACACGGUCCAGACUCCUACGGGAGGCAGUAGUGGGGAAUAUUGGACAAUGGGCGCAAGCCUGAUCCAGCCAUACCGCGUGGGUGAAGAAGGCCUUCGGGUUGUAAAGCCCUUUUGUUGGGAAAGAAAAGCAGCAGGUUAAUACCCCGCUGUUCUGACGGUACCCAAAGAAUAAGCACCGGCUAACUUCGUG
RNAcentral lists this ribosomal RNA (492 nucleotides) under uncultured bacterium. RNAcentral's name for it is "partial 16S ribosomal RNA". It matches the Rfam family "Bacterial small subunit ribosomal RNA", at positions 29 to 507 of the family's 1533-position model. The record is from RNAcentral.